Molecule: ribosomal RNA, 397 nt
Filed under: uncultured bacterium
Lineage: Bacteria
Description: bacterial SSU rRNA
Rfam family: Bacterial small subunit ribosomal RNA
Source: RNAcentral
AUUGAACGCUGGCGGCAUGCUUUAUACAUGCAAGUCGUGCGGCAGCGCGGGGGCAACCCAGGCGGCGAGCGGCGAACGGGUGAGUAAUACAUAGGAACGUAUCCUGAAAUGGGGGAUAGCUCGGCGAAAGCCGGAUUAAUACCGCAUACGCUCCACGGAGGAAAGCAGGGGAUCGCAAGACCUUGCGUUUCUGGAGCGGCCUAUGUCUGAUUAGCUAGUUGGCGGGGUAAUAGCCCACCAAGGCGACGAUCAGUAGCUGGUCUGAGAGGAUGAUCAGCCACACUGGGACUGAGACACGGCCCAGACUCCUACGGGAGGUAGCAGUAGGGAAUUUUGGACAAUGGGCGCAAGCCUGAUCCAGCCAUGCCGCGUGAGUGAAGAAGGCCUGGUUGUAAGU